Molecule: ribosomal RNA, 1639 nt
Filed under: Mycobacterium tuberculosis
Lineage: Bacteria; Bacillati; Actinomycetota; Actinomycetes; Mycobacteriales; Mycobacteriaceae
Also listed under: 1 other name
Description: bacterial LSU rRNA
Rfam family: Bacterial large subunit ribosomal RNA
Source: RNAcentral
GCGUAGUCGAUGGACAACGGGUUGAUAUUCCCGUACCCGUGUGUGGGCGCCCGUGACGAAUCAGCGGUACUAACCACCCAAAACCGGAUCGAUCACUCCCCUUCGGGGGUGUGGAGUUCUGGGGCUGCGUGGGAACUUCGCUGGUAGUAGUCAAGCGAAGGGGUGACGCAGGAAGGUAGCCGUACCAGUCAGUGGUAACACUGGGGCAAGCCGGUAGGGAGAGCGAUAGGCAAAUCCGUCGCUCACUAAUCCUGAGAGGUGACGCAUAGCCGGUUGAGGCGAAUUCGGUGAUCCUCUGCUGCCAAGAAAAGCCUCUAGCGAGCACACACACGGCCCGUACCCCAAACCGACACAGGUGGUCAGGUAGAGCAUACCAAGGCGUACGAGAUAACUAUGGUUAAGGAACUCGGCAAAAUGCCCCCGUAACUUCGGGAGAAGGGGGACCGGAAUAUCGUGAACACCCUUGCGGUGGGAGCGGGAUCCGGUCGCAGAAACCAGUGAGGAGCGACUGUUUACUAAAAACACAGGUCCGUGCGAAGUCGCAAGACGAUGUAUACGGACUGACGCCUGCCCGGUGCUGGAAGGUUAAGAGGACCCGUUAACCCGCAAGGGUGAAGCGGAGAAUUUAAGCCCCAGUAAACGGCGGUGGUAACUAUAACCAUCCUAAGGUAGCGAAAUUCCUUGUCGGGUAAGUUCCGACCUGCACGAAUGGCGUAACGACUUCUCAACUGUCUCAACCAUAGACUCGGCGAAAUUGCACUACGAGUAAAGAUGCUCGUUACGCGCGGCAGGACGAAAAGACCCCGGGACCUUCACUACAACUUGGUAUUGAUGUUCGGUACGGUUUGUGUAGGAUAGGUGGGAGACUGUGAAACCUCGACGCCAGUUGGGGCGGAGUCGUUGUUGAAAUACCACUCUGAUCGUAUUGGGCAUCUAACCUCGAACCCUGAAUCGGGUUUAGGGACAGUGCCUGGCGGGUAGUUUAACUGGGGCGGUUGCCUCCUAAAAUGUAACGGAGGCGCCCAAAGGUUCCCUCAACCUGGACGGCAAUCAGGUGGCGAGUGUAAAUGCACAAGGGAGCUUGACUGCGAGACUUACAAGUCAAGCAGGGACGAAAGUCGGGAUUAGUGAUCCGGCACCCCCGAGUGGAAGGGGUGUCGCUCAACGGAUAAAAGGUACCCCGGGGAUAACAGGCUGAUCUUCCCCAAGAGUCCAUAUCGACGGGAUGGUUUGGCACCUCGAUGUCGGCUCGUCGCAUCCUGGGGCUGGAGCAGGUCCCAAGGGUUGGGCUGUUCGCCCAUUAAAGCGGCACGCGAGCUGGGUUUAGAACGUCGUGAGACAGUUCGGUCUCUAUCCGCCGCGCGCGUCAGAAACUUGAGGAAACCUGUCCCUAGUACGAGAGGACCGGGACGGACGAACCUCUGGUGCACCAGUUGUCCCGCCAGGGGCACCGCUGGAUAGCCACGUUCGGUCAGGAUAACCGCUGAAAGCAUCUAAGCGGGAAACCUUCUCCAAGAUCAGGUUUCUCACCCACUUGGUGGGAUAAGGCCCCCCGCAGAACACGGGUUCAAUAGGUCAGACCUGGAAGCUCAGUAAUGGGUGUAGGGAACUGGUGCUAACCGGCCGAAAACUUACAACA